Molecule: ribosomal RNA, 467 nt
Filed under: uncultured bacterium
Lineage: Bacteria
Description: partial 16S ribosomal RNA
Rfam family: Bacterial small subunit ribosomal RNA
Source: RNAcentral
GAUGAACGCUGACAGAAUGCUUAACACAUGCAAGUCAACUUGAAUUUGGGUUUUUAACUUAGGUUUGGGUGGCGGACGGGUGAGUAACGCGUAAAGAACUUGCCUCACAGCUAGGGACAACAUUUGGAAACGAAUGCUAAUACCUAAUAUUAUGAUAAUAGGGCAUCCUAUAAUUAUGAAAGCUAUAAGCGCUGUGAGAGAGCUUUGCGUCCCAUUAGCUAGUUGGAGAGGUAACGGCUCACCGAGGCGAUGAUGGGUAGCCGGCCUGAGAGGGUGAUCGGCCACAAGGGGACUGAGACACGGCCCUUACUCCUACGGGAGGCAGCAGUGGGGAAUAUUGGACAAUGGACCGAGAGUCUGAUCCAGCAAUUCUGUGUGCACGAUGAAGUUUUUCGGAAUGUAAAGUGCUUUCAGUUGGGAAGAAACAAAUGACGGUACCAACAGAAGAAGUGACGGCUAAAUACGUG